RNAcentral lists this long non-coding RNA (1181 nucleotides) under Homo sapiens (human). RNAcentral's name for it is "non-protein coding lnc-ONECUT1-1:4". The record is from RNAcentral. Lineage: Eukaryota; Metazoa; Chordata; Mammalia; Primates; Hominidae.
UUCAAAUGCAAGUUGCAUCCCCAAAUGCGAGGCUGGCCUGACCAAAAAGAGCCAGUCGGCGCCCGGAAGAGGCGAGACUCGCGCUUGGGUUCUCAAUCCUUCUCUUUUCUCCUUUCUUUUUCCCUUUCUCCUCUCCGGUUCCUGAUUUAGCUGGGAGCUGUUUAUUUAUGGCUGCAAAUGUGUGUGUUCAAGAGAGAGAGGGAAUUGAUCUUUGCCUGGACUUAAAGAUGGAGCCGAAGAAGCUGGAGGGAAUUUGGGCUUGUGCGUCUGGCCCAGACCCUGUGCGCCGAGCCCGAGGUCUAUCCUCCCCGCACCUCUCACCUCGCGACCUUGCAGGAAUCCGCGGGCCCGGAUGCUGCCCAGCUGACCCUCCUGCCCCGGGCCUGGCUGCAGAGAAAGUCUUCGGGCAGGAGGCCAUCCUGUUCCUGUCUUUAAAAUGAGCACAAUAAAAGGGGGCAAAUCCUCGAACGCGAACCUGAUCUCAUGUCACAGAAGCAACUUGCCAUGAAAUCCGCUAAUGCGCUGCGACUCGCCCACCAGGGCAGCGUGCGGCGGCCGAACUGCACCUGCGUUUGUGAGCCUUGUAGAAAUGGAGCCCACCGGAUUCCCUCACCCGGAGAAAUGCCCAAACUGAAACUUGACUACACUUCCCUGGGCUGGUUCACGGUUUCAUAAUCUCCCAGGUUUGCUGGCUGUGUCACCAAAUCCAAGCCAAACCUGCUAUAAACAUGAUCACAGGCCACUGACCUCGCAGCACUGACCGAUAACUCGGUGGCAAAAUCAGCUCCUCUGGUCAGAGGUUAUUAAAGCAGCGGCUGAAUUCGUGUUUGUUUUUUUGAAGUGGUCAGAAAAACGUAGUCUUCUUAAACCUACAAAAACAGUCAAACACAUUUGCAAAUGUGCUUUACUUGUAUUGGUUCGAGUGCUGGAAGCUGUCUGGCGGUGAGCUUUUUCGUUGCGUGUGGUUUAUGCAGAGCACCCGGGAUGUUUUUCUCGUCUUUUACGUCUUGGUAUCUUUUAAAAAUGUAGAAUGUGUCUCUGAUUGUUUCACAGUAUGUUCCUUAACAACCAGAUAUGUAAGAAAACGUUUGGGAUUGAGUGGUGAGAAAAGCAGACUGGAAAGUACAAAUAAACCCAAUCCAAAUGGAAAACAAAUUAAACAGAUGAAAUGAUUAUGAAAG